GGGGAGGUCACUGUCCUUUCUCCUUCCGGAGGGAUGUUCGGUGUUGCGGUCCAUGUGCACGUUGGAAAAAACUUCCAUUCUCAGAGCGACGUGAGAAGAAAGAUAAGCUGAUUGAGCUGAGCAGCACUGCUAGCCAGUGGGACCACCUCUGGUCAUCAGGGAGAGCAGGUGCGUGGGGCGUCUGUUUUCCUAGCCCAGGGACAAAGGAGCGAGGAGAGGUCUUAGGAUACACCUGCUGGUUGGUUGGGGGCAUAUGUGUCCCCAUAGGGCAGGGUGAGGAGGGGGCUGCAUACCUUUCCUAGUGGGGGUGGGAAGGAGCAGCCAGGUUGUGUGAGAACUUGAGACCUGGGCAGCCGUUACAAUGAGACCAUUACAAUAAGGGCAAUUCUUACCUUGGCCAGAGGCUUCUUGAGUUGCCUCUCCUUGGAGAGGUCCUGUCCCACAUUCAGGUGGGAUGUUCAGGGUAUGUGGGGAGGAGACAGGGUUGAAAGGCUAGUGCAGGAUUUGGGAGGCAGGGGCAGGACUCCCCGGGAGGUCCUGGCUGCAGGGGGAAAAGCCAGGCAGGUGGACGGGGAACACGGCUGGGAAGAAUCUGUGAGGACACGGAGGGGGCCACGCAGCCAGCAGCCCCCAGGAGGGGAACUGGAGAGGUUUAUCUGCAAGGCCAGUGAAAUGGAUGGGUUCUUUUUUGCAGGGGGUCUGGACGUAGUGAUAAAACCGGUGAGGGGACGGAGCCCCUGUGCGGGGUCCCGGGGCCGAGCAUGUUCCAGCCAGACAUUGACAUACUGUGAGCAGCCAUCAGCCGACCCCACCUUCACUGUCCUCUGCAGGGAGCUGGGGUGUGGCUCAGCCCCGUACCAGAGACAGAGGUUCUAGAAAGGGGCAGCAGUGUGUUGUGUGUGAGGGCUCUGAGCCAGCUGUGCUGAACUGCAAGGCCAGCCGGGCGAUCUUUAAGCCUGUGUCCUGGCUGGUGAGGUCGUCUGCUCGGGUAAGAAGGUUGCUCUCCUGGCCCAGUCCCUUGGAAGCCUACUCCCUGAUCAUUCCAGAACCCUGUCGACUAAAAAAAUAUGCACACCCUGAAAGUUGAGAAUUAGAUUUUAUUUGGUGGACAAAACUGAGGACUUAAGCCCAGGAGGCAGCCUCUCAAGUGACCCCGAGAAAAGUGCUCUGAGUUGGCGAGGGAGGCGCCGGGAUCUGCAGGAGUUUUGCAACAAAGGGCAGGUGGGGGGAGCAAAGAGUGUUGCUAAUAACAGAAAACGAGGCAUCUCAAGGGCCUGGUGCUUUUCUGAGCCCGGGAGACGUAAGGUCUGGGCUCACAGCAAUCACUCCUGUGGUGCACACCUCAGCUCUCGGGGCCAGCAUCUUGUGGUUUCACAGCCUGAGCUCCCUCGGGGCUCACCCGGCUCACCCUGGGGAGAGGCUGCAGUCUUGUGGCUGCUAGAUGGCAGGUGGUCUUCAUUUCCUUCCCGUGUGCCCUCAGGGCUCCCUGCUCACCCUUGGGGGUGGCUGCAGUAGCUGAUGCCUGUGACAUCUUUUGUUUGCUGAUAGGACAGGCACCAUUUUUAUUUCUCAGCACUAUCGCUUUGGAUCUGGUGUCCUGGGACUAACGCCGGGUGGCCUGGAGAAGCUCAUAACUUCUUUGGUUCUAGGCCUGUGUGUCCCCUUGGGGGUCAGCUCAGUGACCUCUAGAUUGGUGCCAACAUUUCAAGAUGUUAGGAAUAUUUCCUGGGGUUUAAGGGAGGGAGAGAGUGAUUUCUCCAGAAACGCCACAUUCCUCUUGUUUUCAGCAUCUCAGCUUCAGAAGCAGGCUUUUUGAGAAUUUUUCCGACAGAGGAGCGCAUUCCUCCAAGGGCUCCUGCAAGUGGUCUCGUGCGUGUUACACUGGCAGACUUCAAGGCACCGCCAUCAAGGAGUCCAUGCGGAUGGAGUUUGUGGAACAGGGUUGGUUUUACAGUGUUCAAAGGAAAAGCUGGAUGGUUGCAGUUGUAGCUUGGGAGGUGGCCCUGGGAGGUGGAAGGAGGCUGACCUGUGCCCGACCUCAGAGCCACUGCCCGGGGCCUGCUUGUAAGUGAUUGAUACUCAGCCCUAAGGACCUCAAUAAAUAAAGGGGCAGGAGGGACCAGAAACAUCUUGGCUCACCUACUGGGUGUGGGAGUGUGGGGGUGCCGUGGGUGAGCCUGUCUCCAUGUGACUGGGUCUGUGCCUCUAGCUCCUCGCCGUGGGUGCUGAAGGAGCAGCAGGAGCAGCGGGCGCAGGACAGACAGUGGGCCCUUUUUUCCACCCUUCUCUGCGGGAGGUGCAAACAGUGGAUGGCUCAGUGGCCCUCAGGGCUGUUUCCUGGGGUCUCCACUGGGCUCCCCCUGGUGGGGGGGAGUCCCUCAGAAGCUUUAGGGGAUUUUUCAGGGCUUCCCUACAUGAGAGACAUGCAGCCAGCUUUGAGCAUCUCUAAGCUAACUUCAGCCAUAGUUGGGACUUACUGGAAACACGUGGGACAGUCUGAGCCUUCAGUCAACUGCCUGAGCCUACAGAAGAGCUUGGGCCUCUCUGAGUCUGGACUGGGGAGGAAGCUGGCAGCUCAGGCACCAUGUCCUGGGGGGCCCUGUGGUUUUCUCCUCUCUACCUUCCCACCUUGGGAUCAUGGAACCUGCUGCCAUGCAGUGCAUCUGGGCAGGCUGGUGUGGUGGGUGGGACAGGACCAUGGCCUUUCAAGGAGGAAUGGGCACCACCUGACCAGCUCUGUGAACACUCAUGGACCCACUGCUCUGGCGUGUGGGGUUCCCAGCACUUGCAGGAAGUUGUGGGAGGGUCGGGUGCAGGAAGAGACUGUGGUGCGUGGCGGGGGGUCCCUGACGGGAAGUAGAGUUACCCAUGAAGCUUCCGAGGGAGGGAAGAAGGAGGACUGUGUGCUCAGGCUGCCCUGUCUGUCUGCCCCCAGGACACACACAGGCCUGGCUGGCGGGGGGUGGGCACCCCUGCGCUGGGCGCCUGGAGGUGAGACAUGGCCUGACCUGGGCACCGUCUGUGACGCCGACCUGGACCUUGCCACGGCCCACACGGUGCGCCGGGAGCUGCAGUGCGGCGUGGCCGUGUCCAUGCUCCGGGAAGCCCAAAUCUUUGGACCCUCUGAAGGAGGAAGGGGUUUUAGUCCUACUGUCUGGGUUUAGGCUGAUGCUCGCACAGGCAAGUAGCAGACUGCACAUCGGUCACGCCAUCCCUCCCGAGACCUGACCUGGAUUCCAUCACUUCCCUGAACCCAGCUUCCCGACCUGUCCGACCCCCGUGGGCUCCCAGCUGCCCCUGCAGACGCAAAGGUGCAGAGCUGCUGCCCCUGGGCACGGCUGGACUCCAGCUCCCACUUUUGGUCACUUGGAAGCAGGGGCGGAGCUGUGGGGGUGGGGAAAGUCAGCAGGACGCUGGAGAAGAUAGACCCUGUGAGCCCUGGGUGCCCGGGGCCGGGGGUUCCCAGCUCCUGGGCUGCCAAGGGCCUGGGUCAUCGGGCCUAGAACUGGGGAUUCGAGGACACUGUCAGCUGCAAACUCCCGCUGUGGUCACAGGCAGCCCUGGCAGAGCAGACGGCCCCCCACCUGUACUGAGGCUGGUUUUCUCUAGGGAGAGGGUCUCUGGGGAGGGUCUCUCUCCAUGGGCCCCUUUGCAGGAUCCCAGGGACACAGGGAUGUCUCCUCUGAAGUUGUCUAGGAGCAGAUCCUCGAAGACCCAGGGGACUCGAGCGGUGCAAACCUGCAGCCUGGAGACUCUCUGCCCAGGGAGUGUGAGGGCUCUUACACCCCUGCCCUCACUCUGACACCAGGACAGGGCGGCAGAGCCACCACGGCCUUCCCGGAGCCCCUGUGGGAAUGUUUCCUGCCGGAGUCCAGCUCCAGCAGCCAGGGUGUCCCUGCGGGGAUGGACAGUGUCGGGGAUGCACACGGAGACCGCCUCUUUGUCCCUUCUCUCAGGGCGCUGGACUGCUCAAAUUUCAUUAGCAUAGGUAGCAGUUUAUAUGGAUAGCUUAAUUGUAACUUACAUUACAGUGCUUAGGUCAUAUUCUUAAAGGUUAAACUUUUAGAUUACAUGGUACAGUAGAUAUACAUUGUAUUCUAAGGAUUUUAAUGAAAACCAACGGAUACAAUACAUCAUGUAACACUACAAUGGGUACAAAACAUCAUGUGGAAAAAACGUUAUAUGAAAAUAAGGCGAUUCGGUAAAAAACGUUUUGUGGUUACUUUUAGCAAGCACCACCUGUUAUUGUUUUAAGCUAAUCUUUAACAACUAGAAAGGUCACAAGCAUAAGAAUUUGACAUUUACAAAAACUCAUGUUUUGGAUUAAAGCUUGGGGUGCUAACUUCAAAGCGUUAUGGUCAGGGGACAGUAUGAGAAAAUAUUUUUUUAUAUCAAAGCAACUUAGUUUCAUAAAACUUAAAAGCUUAUUACAAAAUUCAUUAAAAGCAAGAUUAUUAUGUUUUUCCAUGUAUGUCUAACCUAUUCGUAAGCUAUGGUACAUAGCACAAUUGCCUAACUCUACAACCCAUUCUUACUUGUAACAAACUAACGAAUACUUUGUUUUUCCCUACAUUGGAUCUGAAUAGGGGGAAUUCAACCAAAGUGAAGCUCUUAUUAUUUUAUUACUGUUCCAAUUUUUUGUUGUUCCAAUUUUAUUGAGUCACAAAACAAUAUAGGAGAAUAACAAAAAAUAACAAACAAAUAACAGGAAAGAUUGAAUAAUAAGUAAAUAACAAGAAAGACUGAUUUUUCCCAGAAGUGGUUUUAUUCUUGUACUGUUGUGCAAAGCCUUCAUCUUGUUAUUGUUGAUGCUGUUGUCGGGUUAGCAGGUGAACCUCAUUAUUUUUAGAACUUGCCCUCGGAACUGUGCUGCCAGGUAAGCCCUUUCCCCUAUUUCUAAACCUGCCCUCGGAACUGUGCCAGCGGGUAGGCUUUGUUCCUCGGUGAGGAACCCUGCCUUUGGAACCGUGCUGUCAGGCUAGUUCCCUUCCUCGGCCUCCUGCAUGUCCUCGGCUCCCCGCAGUUUCUGAGGAGAGUGGCGUCGGUCCCCGAUGGAGCACAUAGGCGGAGCUUGUCAUUAACGGAUGGUGCGCGAGCGCCAGGCAGGUACUGGCAGCCUGGUCAUCUGGAAAGGGUGCAGGGAGGGCAGGGUCUCGGGGGUCUCCGGACAAUCACUGGACAAACCAGAAAAGGGUCAGAUAAGGACGCAUGCUGGGCAGAGUUAGCACGGAGAUGUGACACUUGGCACAGGUCCUCACUGGUGGGUGGGGACCAGGUGUGUGGAGUGAGGAGCCAGGAAGAGGAGCCUGGUGCUCCCAGGAGGACCAGACGCCUGAGGGGCAUGGUUGGGAGGGCACACAAAUAUCUGCACGCCUCCCAGGGCCUCUACAACCUGGCUAGCUCCUGGCUCUCUCAGCGGCCCUGGGCUCCCCGAGGCCCCUUGCCCUGAGGAGACUCAGCCACGCCACCCAGAGCAUGUGAGGGAUUAAAGGAAGUACCUACAUACCAACAAGCCUCGACCCCAUCCCUGGGACCCCACACUCUGCUCCAGUGGUUGGGUGGGGGGGCAGAGCAUACCUGAGCCCACCCAGGGGAGUUAAGCACCUGAGCCAAAGCUCCCUGGGAAGGGCCAGAGGGGCCAAAGCUCAAAGCUGGUCUCGUCCACCUCUGCACUGCCCACUCUGCCACGUGAUGCCUUGGGGUUGGGAGCCAGGAGGACAGGCGGGCAGCCAUGCAAGCCAGGCAGCCCUCCGGGUGGGGGUGUCCCUCCCGCCCCCGCUUCUCCGUCCGUCUCUCCUUCCAGGGACACCAAUGAACUCCUGCCGGUUGUGUCUUUCUGACAAACCCAACAGCCUCCCUAGAGCGGGUAUCUAGGAUGAUCUCUCUCUCACGGAUGGUUGAGUCGCCCCUAGGACCUGGUGGCCUGCUCACAAAGUCUCCUUCCCAGCCUCAGGUGACCUGCCCAUCCUGCUGCAGGGAACUGGCCCUUCAGCAGUGGGAGGGGAGCCCCCCUUGCCAGUGUCCUGGUCCUCAGGCUCCAGCUACGAUGAAGUGGGUGCCAUGGCGAGCACCAGGCUGUGAGCCCACUGCGCCUUCUGUGUUGGUGCUUCUCCUUGGGGUGCUUCCAGGUGAACCUUGGUUUUCUUAUUUUGGACAGAUUGCCUUCAGAAGCUUCCUUAUCACGCCCCGCGCCUGUGUUAUUAAUAAAGUCCACCCAUUUAAUGAAGUUAGAGCGUCAGUCCCACCUCGUGUUAGAGGAGACAAGAUCAGUAAACCACAGGAAGCCAGGACCAUGCAGGGUCUCGGCCGUGCCUCUGCCUGCUCCCAAGCAGCUCCUGAGCUGUGGGGACGUCCGACCCCUGGGCCUGGGCCACGUGCUGCUGCACACCCACCUGCACAGCUCUGAUUGCCCGCCGCCUUCCUGUCUGCCUGGCACACGGCACAGCUUGUCCUAAUUCGCUGUGGUUUCCUCUGAACACGGCAGUGAGUUUCCUCAGACAUCCCUCUGGGGUCUUCCCUGGUUUCUUGGAAGAAUCCUUCCUUCUCAGCAUUGGUGAUGCUUCUCCUGGCUUCAUCCCACACCCCGAGGCCUCUGAUGGCAGCUCUUAAGAGCCCCGGCUCCUCUGAUGGACCCAAACACUUGGCAUGAGGUUAAGUUAUGACAAACUGCCCUCCUUCCUGGUUUUUUUUUGGUACGUUCCUGGCUACUAUUAUCCUUUUAAUACAUCACUUAAUUUGGGAUCCUACUGUGUGAUGAAGGAUUUUUGCAUGUAUGUUCAUGCUUGGAAUUGUCCUGCCAUGUUUUUCCUUCUUUGUUUUACUUUGGUUUCAAAAUAAUAACGGCCUCAUAGAAGGAGACAGGGGGGAUUUUUCCCUCUUUCUCCAAGGGAGGAAUGAUGUAUGGCUGGAAUGAUCUCACCUGUACAACCAUCUGGGAGUAUUAGUUAUCCUGAAGGAAAAAUUUUAAAGAACUUAUGGAAUUUCAGCAGUUCAGUAAUUAACUCAGGCUUACUAUUUUUCUCAAAUCAGUUUCGUUCAUUUAUAAGCUGUAUUUAUUUAGACGUUUAUUCAUUUGAUCUGUUUCCAAAUUUAUCAGCUUAAAGUUGUAGUAUUUUCUUCUUGUUGGAUCUGUACUCAUGCGUCCUUUUAAAUUCUCCACGUUAUUGGUUUGAAUCUUCUUGUUAUCAGACUUGCCAGAGAUUUAUUUUGUGUCUCUUCAAAAACCAAAUUCUGGCUUUUUAUCUGUCUUAUUAAAUUCUGCUUUUAUCUCUCACAAUGUUCAUUUUUCUUGGUUUUAUUAUAGUUCUUUUUCUCACUUAAAAUUGCAGCUCAUUUAUUUUUUAGCAUCUUUUAUAUCAACAGUUAAGCAGUACGUUUCACUUUAAGUACUAUUGUCAUGAAAUCUCACGUUUUGACACGCAGCAUUUUAUUGUCGUUCGGUUCUAAAUAUUUUAAAGAUCCCAUUAGUUCUUCCCUGACAUAUGGGUUAUUUAGAUGUGUAUUUUAAAAUAUCCAAAUAUAUCAGAAUUUUGACUUGUCUUCUCUCAAAGUUUCAUUGUGGAAAAUUUCAAACAUCUAGCGGAGUUGAAAGAAUUUGCAGAGAACACCCAUUUGCCUGCUUAGGUUUUGCCUUUAACGUUUCCUUACCUGUUAGCAUGUCUGUCCUCCACAUCCACCCAUCUCUUCACCCAUGGAUCUAUAUUUUUUAGAUGCGUUUCAAAAUACAUUGCAGAUUUCAGUACACUUCCUCCUAAGUACCUCAGCAUGUGUUAACUGGGUUCAAAACGUGUUUCUUUUUCCUUUGUUUCAGAAUUUUCAUCUUGUGGAGUGUACAAGUCGUAACUGCACAGCCCCUGGGUCUUGAUGAUGCGUAAAGCGCUAUCAGGCUGUAGAACAGCGUCCUCACCUCUGGAAGUUCCCAUCAUGCUUCUUCCCCUGACAGGACCACAGUUCUGAUUUUUUCUGCCAUAAAAUAGUCUUGCACAUUCUAGACCCAUUCACAUAGAACAGAAUCAUACAAUGCACACUCUUUUGUGUAAGGCUUCUUUCACUUGGCACAAUGUUUCUGAGGUCCACCCAUGCUGUUUUGCGUAUCUAAAGUCUGUUUCUUUAGAGUGCUGAGCAAUCUGCUGUUAUGUGACUCUACCACAAUUUGUUUUUUCCAUUUUCUUACCCCUGAAAAACUGGGCUAAUUUUAUAUUUUGGCUGAAUGAAUAAAGUGGCUCCAGAAUUCUUGUACA
Molecule: long non-coding RNA, 8240 nt
Filed under: Sus scrofa (pig)
Lineage: Eukaryota; Metazoa; Chordata; Mammalia; Artiodactyla; Suidae
Description: lncRNA (ENSSSCG00025056811.1)
Source: RNAcentral